This 443-nucleotide ribosomal RNA is filed under the name uncultured bacterium. RNAcentral's name for it is "partial 16S ribosomal RNA". It matches the Rfam family "Bacterial small subunit ribosomal RNA", at positions 28 to 507 of the family's 1533-position model. The record is from RNAcentral.
GAUGAACGUUGGCGGCAUGCCUAACACAUGCAAGUCGAUCGGUAAGGCUCUUCGGAGUACACGAGAGGCGGACGGCUGAGUAACGCGUAGGAACACACCCUGCAGUGAGGGAUAAGACACCGAAAGGUGUUCUAAUACCGCAUACGGUCUUCGGAUUAAAGCAUUUAUGCGCUGAAGGAGUGGCCUGCGUCAUAUUAGAUAGUUGGUGAGGUAAUGGCUCACCAAGUCGAUGAUGUGUAGCUGGUCUGAGAGGAUGAUCAGCCAGACUGGAACUGAGACACGGUCCAGACUCCUACGGGAGGCAGCAGUGAGGAAUAUUUCACAAUGAGCGAAAGCUUGAUGGAGCAAUGCCGCGUGCAGGAUGAAGGCCCUCGGGUUGUAAACUGCUUUUAUAAGAGAAGAUUAUGACGGUAACUUAUGAAUAAGGGACGGCUAACUACGUG